CGAAGUCUAUUGACCCAAAUCCAGCUCGGGUCACGUCACUCACCAGGUAGCUCCGAACCACCGUGAAAUGCGGCCGAGCCUUCACCACCAUUAAAUCUGCCACCGAUCUCAUGUACUCCUCUGUAACCAACCCUUUUGCUUUCUUCACUAACUGUAAAGUAUACCCUAAUGGGUUUGCAUGUAUUUUCUUUGCUUGACUUAUAGCAACAGCAAAAGCGAACCCAUUACCAUAAUAACCAGUGGGUAAUGGUGGGUUGAAUUUAGUACGGGAGUUAACGAUGCAUAUAAUCCGCAUUUCUUCUUCCGGGUCUGGUUGGAGGGCGAUGGUACGACAACGCCAUAGACACGCAGUUAGGACUUCGAAGUUGGAAGAGCGACGAAGGUGAGGAGGGAGGAGACGACAAAUGGCGGCCAUUUCAGUAUGACCGAAGAAGAAAGAGCGGUGGAUCAUGUCAUCGACAGGGAUGAUGGUGCCCUUAAUGUCCUCCACCUCGUCAUAUUCAUGGUGAACACAGGUCACUCGCGGCGGGUCUCUCGCGGUUAGUAAGUGUCUUUCCCAGACGGGUUGGACAGAGGGAGAGUUUGCUCCUCGGGCCAUCUCCGCCACAGCAGUCAUGAACUGGACGAG
RNAcentral lists this long non-coding RNA (628 nucleotides) under Carica papaya (papaya). Its description in RNAcentral is "long non-coding RNA (CPAP_LNC015498)". The record is from RNAcentral. Lineage: Eukaryota; Viridiplantae; Streptophyta; Magnoliopsida; Brassicales; Caricaceae.